GAUCCUGGCUCAGGAUGAACGCUGGCGGCGUGCCUAACACAUGCAAGUCGAACGGACUUACAUUGAAGCCUAGCGAUAUGUAAGUUAGUGGCGGACGGGUGGGUAACGCGUGGGUAACCUGCCUUGUACUGGGGGACAACAGUUGGAAACGACUGCUAAUACCGCAUAAGCGCACAGCUUCACAUGAAGCAGUGUGAAAAACUCCGGUGGUACAAGAUGGACCCGCGUCUGAUUAGCUGGUUGG
Molecule: ribosomal RNA, 244 nt
Filed under: uncultured bacterium
Lineage: Bacteria
Description: partial 16S ribosomal RNA
Rfam family: Bacterial small subunit ribosomal RNA
Source: RNAcentral